AUUUAAGGAGCUAUCCCAAAAUACUUUAGGAUAUGUAACUAUAUAAAACCUUCCAAGAAUGCAGCCCUCAUAGGAGAGUUAAAAUAAGGAUUUUAAUGGACUAUUUUGAUUUGGUUUGGUCUGGUUUGGCUACCUGAUUCCUGCUGUCUUUUUCCAUGCCAGCCAGAGAGGCACUUUCAAGAUCCUUCCCUGAAACCUGUACCAAUAAGACUAUACCAAUGUUCAGUUGAAACAUCAGGUAUAAGUUUGGCGGAAGCGAAAGGACAACCUGCUUUGAAAUAAAUUCCAAGGACAGAUUGUCAUUAACGAAAUAGAAAUUGGACUAUGCCCCUCAUGCUGCCAGCGCCUGGUAUGAUGCGGCGUGACGCGCAGCGCUUGCGGCAGUACAAUGCCCUCAAUCACCCGCCCGGCACCGACGCGCCGCCCACUCACGGCAAAGAGAGCCACCUAGUGAGGGAUUAUUCUCAUUUCCGCGAUACUGUUCUGGUUAUGAUGGAUACCACAAUGAAAGAGACCUGGUCCCUGUCUUGAGGGAACCCACCUGCUUGUAGAGAUCUCAGAGUGAUGAUCAGGAUGCAAUAUAAGGGAUGCAGUAAUUGGGGUUCCCCAACUCACAAUAAGCAAUACCUCUGAGAAAGUACCACACCUAAAAUUCUUAUCUGCGGAUUUAAUGGACACAAUCUGGAGAAGACAAGAAGAGAUGCUCAUAGGGAAGAUUGAAAAGUAUUGAAAAACCAAAAUAAAAACCCUAACCUCUCUUACUU
Macaca mulatta (Rhesus monkey) is the source of this 764-nucleotide non-coding RNA. The record is from RefSeq and is a predicted model, not a curated record. Lineage: Eukaryota; Metazoa; Chordata; Mammalia; Primates; Cercopithecidae.